RNAcentral lists this ribosomal RNA (516 nucleotides) under uncultured Bacillus sp. RNAcentral's name for it is "bacterial SSU rRNA". It matches the Rfam family "Bacterial small subunit ribosomal RNA", at positions 353 to 859 of the family's 1533-position model. Lineage: Bacteria; Bacillati; Bacillota; Bacilli; Caryophanales; Bacillaceae. The record is from RNAcentral.
AGUAGGGAAUCUUCCGCAAUGGACGAAAGUCUGACGGAGCAACGCCGCGUGAGCGAUGAAGGCCUUCGGGUCGUAAAGCUCUGUUGUUAGGGAAGAACAAGUGCUAGUUGAAUAAGCUGGCACCUUGACGGUACCUAACCAGAAAGCCACGGCUAACUACGUGCCAGCAGCCGCGGUAAUACGUAGGUGGCAAGCGUUGUCCGGAAUUAUUGGGCGUAAAGCGCGCGCAGGCGGUUUCUUAAGUCUGAUGUGAAAGCCCCCGGCUCAACCGGGGAGGGUCAUUGGAAACUGGGAAACUUGAGUGCAGAAGAGGAAAGUGGAAUUCCAAGUGUAGCGGUGAAAUGCGUAGAGAUUUGGAGGAACACCAGUGGCGAAGGCGACUUUCUGGUCUGUAACUGACGCUGAGGCGCGAAAGCGUGGGGAGCAAACAGGAUUAGAUACCCUGGUAGUCCACGCUGUAAACGAUGAGUGCUAAGUGUUAGAGGGUUUCCGCCCUUUAGUGCUGAAGUUAACGCA